Molecule: non-coding RNA, 1060 nt
Organism: Poecilia reticulata (guppy)
Lineage: Eukaryota; Metazoa; Chordata; Actinopteri; Cyprinodontiformes; Poeciliidae
Source: RefSeq, a predicted model, not a curated record
CAUUAUUUCACUUAUUGCAAGACAUUUUCCCCAGGCUGGAAGUUGGAAAUGUCUUAAUUAGCUUUAAAAAGUUCUAUAGUAUUAAUUUAUCUGUAUUUUAUUUUGAAAGAGAAUUUUGAGAUAUUAGUGCAUUGUGGGUAGCAGAGGCAGUUGCAGUUUGGAAUGAAUACCUGUUCAGAGAGAGAAAGCCUGUUAAUGUAUGAACUCCACCUCCUGUGUUCUUACACCUCCGAAAACAACGGCUAACCUGGAUCCAGUAACAGAGCGAUCUUCAGCCUCSUUCAGUGCAGCUGACGCUUCCUGGCAGCGAAUUUGACGGAGCAGUCAGUCACAUUGUUCAGCUGUCACACACUCCAGGACGUCGUCGGCACAAAACUGAAAAUGUAUGAAGGAUGCAUAAAGAAAAACUGUGGCUAAUGCAUCUGCAGGAAAAAGCUUGAGAAUGGCUUGAUGGACUGAGACGAGCCACGGCAGACUUUUCAGGAAACAGCUCAAUUUUACCCAGGCAGGCUGGAGCUGAUGGGGGGUGUAAAGUUUGAUUACAAUCACGGCUGCUGACAAGAUGCGAGGAGAUGGACGUAAACAAGGACAUUAAACUGAAACRUUAUUGAGCUUGUGGCUGUAUGUUACACAGCCUUCGUUUAAGUUCCUGCUAUACUUCUGCUACUUAAGUGGUUUAAUGACUGUACGGAAARUCUCAGGAGAAAGCCAUGCAUGACAACAGAGAUUUAUUUCGUCAGAGCUGCAGCUGCAAUUAGUCACAGCUGAAUGUUUUCUGUUCCCUCAGAURAUCUCGAAAUCGUUGACAUUUARUGUCAGCUCCCGUACAUUUUCCUCCGAGUGUUUGGAGAAAGCGAAGGCAGGAGCCGGAGCCACCGGAGGGAGGAGGAAGGUAGGCGUAAUCAGUCUAAACACCAGCUAAUUAGUGCAGCGCUCGUAUUUUUUUUGUCAGGUGGGUGUAAGAACGAGGCAACUGAAGUGAAGUCAACAACCAAAGCAGCUACAUGGAGGUAUGGUUGGAGGCUUUAUGAAACCUGUAAGAAAUUAAUUAUAAAAAUGA